This 352-nucleotide transfer-messenger RNA is filed under the name Candidatus Dadabacteria bacterium. It matches the Rfam family "transfer-messenger RNA". Rfam says of the family: Bacterial tmRNA, also known as 10Sa RNA or SsrA, is named for its dual tRNA and mRNA-like properties. Lineage: Bacteria; Pseudomonadati; Thermodesulfobacteriota; Candidatus Dadabacteria. The record is from RNAcentral. RNAcentral also lists the same sequence under 1 other name.
GGGGGCGAUUCGGCUUCGACGGGGAAUGGGAUAGCUUAUGCUGCAUGUCGAGCUUAGAUAACUCGUAAAACUGACUAAGCACUAUAAGUGCCGAACCAAUUAACGCACUCGCAGCUUAAAUAAACUGUGACGUCUCAUUAGAUCAUGCCCGUGGGAUUUUCUGAGGCGACGACUAAACGGGCUGGUUGGUAUGUAUUGCUUGGGUUGCCUGCCAAUGAGAAACUUACUCGAGCUUGUAGUGAAAAACCUGCCUGCCGGUGAUUUUACUGCAAAAUAAAAAGACAGGAUAAACAUGUAGAUGCUGAGUGAGGCUCUUUUCCGGACCUGGGUUCGAUUCCCAGCGCCUCCACCA